GGACGGGUGAGUAAUGUCUGGGAAACUGCCUGAUGGAGGGGGAUAACUACUGGAAACGGUAGCUAAUACCGCAUAACGUCGCAAGACCAAAGUGGGGGACCUUCGGGCCUCAUGCCAUCAGAUGUGCCCAGAUGGGAUUAGCUAGUAGGUGGGGUAAUGGCUCACCUAGGCGACGAUCCCUAGCUGGUCUGAGAGGAUGACCAGCCACACUGGAACUGAGACACGGUCCAGACUCCUACGGGAGGCAGCAGUGGGGAAUAUUGCACAAUGGGCGCAAGCCUGAUGCAGCCAUGCCGCGUGUAUGAAGAAGGCCUUCGGGUUGUAAAGUACUUUCAGCGAGGAGGAAGGCGUUAAGGUUAAUAACCUUGGCGAUUGACGUUACUCGCAGAAGAAGCACCGGCUAACUCCGUGCCAGCAGCCGCGGUAAUACGGAGGGUGCAAGCGUUAAUCGGAAUUACUGGGCGUAAAGCGCACGCAGGCGGUCUGUCAAGUCGGAUGUGAAAUCCCCGGGCUCAACCUGGGAACUGCAUUCGAAACUGGCAGGCUAGAGUCUUGUAGAGGGGGGUAGAAUUCCAGGUGUAGCGGUGAAAUGCGUAGAGAUCUGGAGGAAUACCGGUGGCGAAGGCGGCCCCCUGGACAAAGACUGACGCUCAGGUGCGAAAGCGUGGGGAGC
This 673-nucleotide ribosomal RNA is filed under the name Klebsiella aerogenes. RNAcentral describes it as "bacterial SSU rRNA". It matches the Rfam family "Bacterial small subunit ribosomal RNA", at positions 100 to 769 of the family's 1533-position model. The record is from RNAcentral. Lineage: Bacteria; Pseudomonadati; Pseudomonadota; Gammaproteobacteria; Enterobacterales; Enterobacteriaceae.